AAUUUAUAUAUGACAACAGAAUGCAUUACAAUUCUUAUUACACAUAUAGAGCACAAUUUUUCAUAUCUCUGGUUGUAUACAUAGUAUAUUCACACCAAUUCGUGUCUUCAUACCUGUACUUUGAUAAUAAUGAUCAUUACAUUCCACCAUCAUUAAUAACCCCAUGCCCCCUCCCUUCCCCUCCAACCCCUCUGCCCUAUCUAGAGUUCAUCUAUUCCUCCCAUGCUUCCUCUCCCUAUCCCACUAUGAAUCAGCCUCCUUAUAUCAAAGAA
RNAcentral lists this long non-coding RNA (272 nucleotides) under Marmota monax (woodchuck). The record is from RNAcentral. Lineage: Eukaryota; Metazoa; Chordata; Mammalia; Rodentia; Sciuridae.